This 72-nucleotide transfer RNA is filed under the name Haematococcus lacustris. RNAcentral describes it as "Haematococcus pluvialis tRNA". It matches the Rfam family "tRNA". From Rfam's summary of the family: Transfer RNA (tRNA) molecules are approximately 80 nucleotides in length. Their secondary structure includes four short double-helical elements and three loops (D, anti-codon, and T loops). The record is from Rfam by way of RNAcentral. Lineage: Eukaryota; Viridiplantae; Chlorophyta; Chlorophyceae; Chlamydomonadales; Haematococcaceae. RNAcentral also lists the same sequence under 1 other name.
GGUGCGUUAGCUCAGUGGUAGAGCGGCUGACUGCAGAUCAGCAGGUCCUUGGUUCAAACCCGAGACGUACCU